GCGAGCGGGGCGGUGUCUGUAAAUAGCGGGGAGGGGCGAAGGUGUUUCAGAAGCGUAAAGAGACGCCGUGGCUGAGGCAGGCCCUGCGACGACGGCGUCGGCCUCCGAGCGCAGCCGAAGCGUGCGCCCCGAGGAGCCGGGCAUUCUUAGGAGAAUGCUGUUUCUGUACUCCUGACUUCCCGUCACGCCAGGGACACGUGGCUUGGAGCACAGCAGCCGGAUUCCUCACUUAGCCGUGUCAGCUUGGUGCAGGUUACGAAUUACAGGGUGACUUGGAAACCCAGAAACAAAGGGAAGAAGCUGGAUGGGGAAGAAAGGCUGCAGAGCUUCCUGCAACGGGCUGCGAGCGCAAAGAGCGAGGAGGCAGCGGAAGACCGGACUCAGGAAUCGGAACGGUUUUCUUGGGUUUAAGAAGCUCGAAUGGCGCUUCAAGACAUUUAUAUCAGACCUGGUUUAAUUUCAUUACCCUUUUUUUUUACAUCCACAAAAAAACCCCAGCCCUCCCCCCCCCCACCUCCAGGAUCCAUCGCUGCUGCUGCCGUGCGUGACGAGAAGCCGUCUUCCCUCUGCCCGGAGCAGCUGAGAGAUGGAGCAGCACCCCAAAGGACUUUCUGCU
Motacilla alba alba is the source of this 616-nucleotide long non-coding RNA. RefSeq lists it as uncharacterized. The record is from RefSeq and is a predicted model, not a curated record. The transcript is spliced from 4 exons. Lineage: Eukaryota; Metazoa; Chordata; Aves; Passeriformes; Motacillidae.